UACAGAGGUGGCAAGCGUUGUUCGGAAUUACUGGGCGUAAAGGGCGCGUAGGCGGUCCGAUAAGUCCCGGGUGAAAUCCCUCGGCUCAACUGAGGAAUGGCACGGGAAACUGACGGGCUUGAGUUCGGGAGAGGGAAGCGGAAUUCCGGGUGUAGCGGUGAAAUGCGUAGAUAUCCGGAGGAACACCGGUGGCGAAGGCGGCUUCCUGGACCGACACUGACGCUGAGGCGCGAAAGCUAGGGGAGCAAACGGG
This 253-nucleotide ribosomal RNA is filed under the name uncultured bacterium. RNAcentral's name for it is "partial 16S ribosomal RNA". It matches the Rfam family "Bacterial small subunit ribosomal RNA", at positions 524 to 776 of the family's 1533-position model. The record is from RNAcentral.